AGUCGAGCGGUAGCACAGGGAGCUUGCUCCUGGGUGACGAGCGGCGGACCGCCCUUAUAAAGGUGGGAAACUGCCUGAUGGAGGGGGAUAACUACCCCUUUCAGAAGCUAAUACCGCAUAACGCCGCAAGACCAAACAGGGGGACCUUCGGGCCUCUUGCCAUCAGAUGUGCCCAGAUGGGAUUAGCUAGUAGGUGGGGGAACGGCUCACCUAUGCGACCAUCCCUAGCUGGUCUGAGAGGAUGACCAGCCACACUGGAACUGAGAGAAAGACCAAACUCCUACGGGAGGCAGCAGUGGGGAAUAUUGUUCAUUUGGCGCAAGCCUGAUGCAGCCAUGCCGCGCGUAUGAAGAAGGUCUUCCUAUUGUAAAGUUCUUUCUCCGGGUUCGACCGCCUUAUGGUUAAUCCCCUUCUCUAUUUAAAUUACCCCCAUAAGAA
RNAcentral lists this ribosomal RNA (438 nucleotides) under Enterobacter sp. LLP-9. Its description in RNAcentral is "bacterial SSU rRNA". It matches the Rfam family "Bacterial small subunit ribosomal RNA", at positions 60 to 489 of the family's 1533-position model. Lineage: Bacteria; Pseudomonadati; Pseudomonadota; Gammaproteobacteria; Enterobacterales; Enterobacteriaceae. The record is from RNAcentral.